CUGGCAGUCCCACUGGCUCUGAAGCAGUCCUCAGCCCUGCCCCGGAGCAGCAGCCCAAGUGUGAGGCUCACGGGGGAGGUGCACCCAGAGCCGAACACCGGUGCAAUGAUGGUCCGCGGGUCCUACCCUCCCUCGAAGAUGCCUGCUGUGACACAAUGUUGGGUCCUGCCACCAAAGACCCAAGUGGGACUUCUCUGACUACCCCAGGAGCCAGAAACCAACACAC
Long non-coding RNA from Suricata suricatta (meerkat), 226 nucleotides. RefSeq lists it as uncharacterized. NCBI's taxonomy places the organism in Eukaryota, Metazoa, Chordata, Mammalia, Carnivora, Herpestidae. The transcript has 3 exons. The record is from RefSeq and is a predicted model, not a curated record.